GUGGAUCUCUCCUGAGCCUAUGAAGUUGUGCUGAGAAACCGUGACAAAACCAGAACAAAGUAAGAAGAGUGUUUGAGGGUUUCAGAGAUCCUACAGAACAACAAGGGGAAAAACAUCACAGCUGGAUCUGGACAGAACGUCACUCUGACAUGUCGAGCUCCAAACAACAACAUCAUAGGUGUAAAGUGGAGCAGCACUGACCUGGAGCCAGAAUAUGUGCUUUUUUACAGAAAUGGGCAGUUUGAUCUAGAAAACCAGCAUCCAUCUUUUAAGAACCGGGUGGAUCUGCAGGACAGACAGAUGAAGGAUGGAGACGUGUCUCUGAUUCUGAAGGAUGUGACGAUUAAUGACACUGGAAGAUAUGAGUGUCGUGUCUUCUCAAAAGGGAGGAACACUGACCCCAUCAGCAUCAUCUACCUGAAAGUUUUUCCUCCAGGUCAGUCAGGAGGACACACAGAGGAUGGAUCUGUUGGACUGAUUGUUGGUCUGUCAGUUUCUGCUGUGCUUCUUGUUGUUGUUGUUGCUGCUGUUGUUGGUGGUGUUUUGAUCUAUAGAAAACAUAAACGGCAACAACAGAGUCAAGAUUCAUAUAAGCCUCCUGUUGAACAGCAGGAUGUUUGAAAUGUCUCAGAGAGGGAAAGGAAAAGCAGGAGAAAGUCUGACUGAAAAAACUAAAACAAUACCACCAGAGUUGAAAAACCAGAAGAGCUGCAUGUUUCCAAAGAGAUUUCACAGGAUGGAUGAUGGUCUGAUAAAUCAGCUGUAAAUACUCACUGUGCCUCAAAGAAGAAAAAAUAGACAUAAAACAAAGAAGAACACAAGUUCAAUAUAUCUUUAUGAGAUUUAAAUACACACACACACACACACACACACGUAUUGUUACAUAUUUAUGUAUUAUAUUAUAUUUACUUUCAACACUGAACAUUUAUGGCUUAUUAUGUAUUGGACAUUUCUAAAUAACAAUAUUUAUUAUUAGUAGUAUUAUUCAGUUUUUAUAAUAGUUAUAUCUUAAACAUUUCUUCCACACACAGGUUCAAUAUUUGAUUGUAGCUUUUGUCUGAGUCAUUUACAUCUUGUUUGUAUGUGGACCAGUUGGUCCUGUGUUCAAUCAAAGAAAAGUGAGCAAAUUUGAAAGUAAGUAGAAUGAGAAAACAUUUGUUUUCAUAGCACAAGGUAAACAGUUUGAGUGAACGCUCUGAAUCAAGGCUUCUCUUCCACUGAUGUCAACAAAUAACCUUAUGCUUUGUUUCCUCAAAGUAUUCAUGAAUUCAGGGACCUGUCUGUUUCAGAAACAGUGUGUUUUAUUUUCAGGUUCAGCUGUUUGUGAGAAUAAAGUUGUUCUGUUAAGUUUGAACCACACUGACUGAUCUUCAUGACUGAAAGGACAAACAUGUGAUAAAGAACAGAUGGAUUAUUGUAAAUUAUAGAUCAUAAAUCAUCUAUUCCAAAGUGUACCAGAUAGCUUCAAUUGAACAACUGAAUGUUCUAAUAGCAAAAUUAAACCAAACCCAGACAUAACCUCUGUAUAAAAGUCACAUGUUCCUCCCUCUGAUCUGUGAAGGUUUUUUUGUUGGUUUUCUGGUUGUUACUUCAAUUUAAAUGUUUCUAAGGCUGAUCACAUUUUGUGUCUAUUUAAUGUGAUUUUGUUGCUAAUAAAAUUUUACAGUACUGUGAAAGGAACUUUGUCUUAACUGACUAUGUGUUUUCUGUGGAAGUAAAACUUGUUUUUAUUUAAAGGUUUCUGAUGUGUAAAACACUGUCUUCAUCAGACAGAGAAAUGGAAAUGGACUUAGAAUAUGUUCCUGUAACAACAAACUACAAAACGGAAAGUUUUGUAGUUUGUAGAAAGUUGUUUUAAAUAUACUGCAAAUAAUUUUAUUGGUGUCACUGAGUCUGAGGCUGUGUUGGUUUUAGAUACAGAAUGUACUAUAUUUAGAUGAAAAAGUGAAGUGCUAAUUCAACAGCUUUCAGGCCUUUUUACACCAGAUGCAUAAACUAUAUUUUUCAGACUUGCCUUUUCUUAAUGCAGCUAUUCACACGGCCACGUAAUUUUACUUAACCAAUUUGCAGCAUUUACUUUUUUGAAACAAGCUUGAUUUACUUGAUGUUUAGUAGUAAGUAAGUAAGUAAGAGAGAUUCCAUAUCUCAUAAGUUGAUCUGCACAAACCGAUUUGAUUAAUCAGAUGUAUGCAUGUGGCAACAUAUGUACUAA
Molecule: long non-coding RNA, 2212 nt
Organism: Oreochromis aureus
Lineage: Eukaryota; Metazoa; Chordata; Actinopteri; Cichliformes; Cichlidae
Source: Ensembl